UACGGAGGGUGCGAGCGUUGUCCGGAAUUACUGGGCGUAAAGAGCUCGUAGGUGGUUUGUCGCGUUGUCCGUGAAAUUCCCUGGCUUAACUGGGGGCGUGCGGGCGAUACGGGCAGACUGGAGUACUGCAGGGGAGACUGGAAUUCCUGGUGUAGCGGUGGAAUGCGCAGAUAUCAGGAGGAACACCCGGUGGCGAAGGCGGGGUCUCUGGGCAGUAACUGACGCUGGAGGGAGCGAA
This 238-nucleotide ribosomal RNA is filed under the name uncultured bacterium. Its description in RNAcentral is "partial 16S ribosomal RNA". It matches the Rfam family "Bacterial small subunit ribosomal RNA", at positions 524 to 757 of the family's 1533-position model. The record is from RNAcentral.